This 253-nucleotide ribosomal RNA is filed under the name uncultured bacterium. RNAcentral describes it as "partial 16S ribosomal RNA". It matches the Rfam family "Bacterial small subunit ribosomal RNA", at positions 524 to 776 of the family's 1533-position model. The record is from RNAcentral.
UACAGAGGGGACAAGCGUUGUUCGGAAUUACUGGGCGUAAAGGGCGCGUAGGCGGCCUUCUAAGUCGAACGUGAAAUCCCCGGGCUCAACCCGGGAACUGCGUCCGAUACUGGAAGGCUUGAAUCCGGGAGAGGGAUGCGGAAUUCCAGGUGUAGCGGUGAAAUGCGUAGAUAUCUGGAGGAACACCGGUGGCGAAGGCGGCAUCCUGGACCGGCAUUGACGCUGCGGCGCGAAAGCCAGGGGAGCAAACGGG